GCUCGCUUGGCCAAGUGGUAAGGCGCUUGACUGUUAGUCUUCCUCUAAUUCGUCAAUCCUCAAACAAAGCUAAUUCCUCAAAAGUGUACACAAUAUCUCGCAAUCAAGAGAGCGCUGGUUCGAUUCCGGCAGUGAGCA
This 138-nucleotide transfer RNA is filed under the name Aspergillus sydowii CBS 593.65. It matches the Rfam family "tRNA". From Rfam's summary of the family: Transfer RNA (tRNA) molecules are approximately 80 nucleotides in length. Lineage: Eukaryota; Fungi; Ascomycota; Eurotiomycetes; Eurotiales; Aspergillaceae. The record is from Rfam by way of RNAcentral.